This 497-nucleotide ribosomal RNA is filed under the name uncultured bacterium. RNAcentral's name for it is "partial 16S ribosomal RNA". It matches the Rfam family "Bacterial small subunit ribosomal RNA", at positions 28 to 507 of the family's 1533-position model. The record is from RNAcentral.
GACGAACGCUGGCGGCGUGCCUAAUACAUGCAAGUAGAACGCUGAAGAGAGGAGCUUACUCUUCUUGGAUGAGUUGCGAACGGGUGAGUAACGCGUAGGUAACCUGCCUUGUAGCGGGGGAUAACUAUUGGAAACGAUAGCUAAUACCGCAUAACAAUGGAUGACACAUGUCAUUUAUUUGAAAGGGGCAAUUGCUCCACUACAAGAUGGACCUGCGUUGUAUUAGCUAGUAGGUGAGGUAAUGGCUCACCUAGGCGACGAUACAUAGCCGACCUGAGAGGGUGAGCGGGCACACUGGGACGGGAACACGGCCCAGAAUCCUACGGGAGGCAGCCGGAGGGAAUCUUCGGCAAUGGGGGCAACGCUGAACGAGCAACGCCGCGGGAGUGAAGGAGGUUUUCGGAUCGGAAAGCUCUGUUGUAAGUCAAGAACGGGUGUGAGAGUGAAAAGUUCACACUGUGACGGUAGCUUAACAGAAAGGGACGGCUAACUACGUG